AGCAGCCGCGGUAAUUCCAGCUCCAAUAGCGUAUAUUAAAGUUGUUGCAGUUAAAAAGCUCGUAGUUGAAUUUCGGGAUCAAUUAGUCGGUCGUGCCUCUGGUACGUACUGGUUUUAUUGGUUCCUCCCUUCUGACGAAACAUGAUGUCAUUAAUUUGGUGUCGUGGAGAAUCAGGACUGUUACCUUGAAAAAAUUAGAGUGUUUAUAGCAGGCUAACGCUUGAAUACAUUAGCAUGGAAUAAUGAAAUAGGACGUUCGACCCUAUUUUGUUGGUUUCUAGGAUCGACGUAAUGAUUAAUAGGGAUAGUUGGGGGCAUUAGUAUUCAAUUGUCAGAGGUGAAAUUCUUGGAUUUAUUGAAGACUAACUACUGCGAAAGCAUUUGCCAAGGAUGUUUUCAUUAAUCAAGAACGAAAGUUAGGGGAUCGAAGACGAUCAGAUACCGUCGUAGUCUUAACCAUAAACUAUGCCGACUAGGGACCGAGUGUAUGUUAAGUUUUUUAAUUUUAGUACUCUACUUC
This 520-nucleotide ribosomal RNA is filed under the name uncultured Glomus. RNAcentral's name for it is "bacterial SSU rRNA". It matches the Rfam family "Eukaryotic small subunit ribosomal RNA", at positions 569 to 1088 of the family's 1831-position model. The record is from RNAcentral. Lineage: Eukaryota; Fungi; Glomeromycota; Glomeromycetes; Glomerales; Glomeraceae.